UGAGGAACAUGACCUUCGGCGGGGGAUAGCCGGCCCAACGGCCGGGUAAUACCGCGUACGACCACAUGGGGACAUCCCUGAGUGGUGAAAGCAGCAAUGCGCCGAUGGAAUGCCUCGCGGCCUAUCAGCUAGUUGGUGAGGUAACGGCUCACCAAGGCGACGACGGGUAGCUGGU
RNAcentral lists this ribosomal RNA (175 nucleotides) under uncultured bacterium. Its description in RNAcentral is "partial 16S ribosomal RNA". It matches the Rfam family "Bacterial small subunit ribosomal RNA", at positions 118 to 291 of the family's 1533-position model. The record is from RNAcentral.